GUGCCAGCCGCCGCGGUAAUACAGGGGGGGCAAGCGUUGUUCGGAAUUACUGGGCGUAAAGGGUUUGUAGGUGGCCACUUAAGUCAGACGUGAAAUCCCUCAGCUUAACUGGGGAACUGCGUCUGAUACUGAGUGGCUUGAGUGCAGGAGAGGAACGCGGAAUUCCAGGUGUAGCGGUGAAAUGCGUAGAUAUCUGGAGGAACACCGGUGGCGAAGGCGGCGUUCUGGACUGUAACUGACACUGAAAAACGAAAGCCAGGGGAGCAAACGGGAUUAGAAACCCGUGUAGUCC
Molecule: ribosomal RNA, 292 nt
Filed under: uncultured bacterium
Lineage: Bacteria
Description: partial 16S ribosomal RNA
Rfam family: Bacterial small subunit ribosomal RNA
Source: RNAcentral